AAGACUAUAGACCUGCGGAGUACCUGCGGAAGGAUCAUUAAUGAAUUUUAGGACGUUCUUUUUAGAAGUCCGACCAUUUCAUUUUCUUACACUGUGCACACACUUCUUAUUACACACACUUUUAACACAUUAGUAUAAGAAUGUAAUAGUCUCUUAAUUGAGCAUAAACAAAAAUAAAACUUUCAACAACGGAUCUCU
Molecule: unclassified non-coding RNA, 198 nt
Filed under: soil metagenome
Description: partial contains 5.8S ribosomal RNA, internal transcribed spacer 2, and large subunit ribosomal RNA
Source: RNAcentral